CAAGACGUAAAAGCCCGGGUUCGCUGUUGAGAAGAAGCUAAGUAUCAACCAGCAGAGUGGCCCUGGGCGGAGUACUCGAUGGUGUCCUCGCUUUAGAAUGCAGUUUCAUCCUUUGAAUCAACCGCGUUUUCUCCUUCCGGUCUUUGUAAUUCAUCCAAUUUCAGGAGAUUCGUCAGCUUCCUAAUCUCUCGAGGGCUACGGCCACAACCCGAACCUAAAACCUUCGGAAGUCGAUCCGGACAGAACCUGGUUUUAUGUAAGAGAUACCGAGAUGCACUUGAGAUCUUUGAUAUUUUUGAGCUAGAGGACGGUUAUGAUGUUGGUAAUAGCACGUUCGACACGAAUUAAUGCGUUUUUUUGGCUUGUAAUCUGUAAGAGGGGGUGAGGAGGUUGUGUAAUUACAUGAUUGACAAUGGAUUUGAACCCGAUCAAUACAUGAGGAACAGGAUUGUACUUAUGCAUGUGAAGUGCCGGAUGAUGGUUGAUGCCUGUAGACUGUUCAAUGAAAUGCUCGAAAGGGAUGCGGCUUUGUGGAAUACCAUAGUUUCCAGGUAUGUGGACUCUGGAAAUUACGAAGAGGCGUUUGGGCUGUUCAUCAUGAUGUGGAACGAGUAUUCUAAUUGUACUUCAGAGCAAACGUCAUUGCAGAUUGUGCAGAGCCAUCGCGUUUGUGGUGACUGCGAUUCUGCGAUCAAGCUGAUUGCUAAGAUAACCAAACGUGAAAUUGUGAUCAGAGAUGCUAGCAGAUUCCAUCGUUUCAGAGACGGGAGUUGCACUUUUGGAGACUAAUGGUGAUGCUGGUAAAUCUCUGUCGCUUUCUUUUGUUUUUUCGUUUAUUUUUGUAGGAACGGGUAAUGUCUCUUCCAUUCAAUAGACAUGAUUACCUUUCUUUUUCAAGGGGUUAUAAUGAAAUGAAUCCAUGGCGUACUCGUCCGAAACUUACAUUGUGUU
Molecule: non-coding RNA, 951 nt
Organism: Cucurbita pepo subsp. pepo (vegetable marrow)
Lineage: Eukaryota; Viridiplantae; Streptophyta; Magnoliopsida; Cucurbitales; Cucurbitaceae
Source: RefSeq, a predicted model, not a curated record